AAAUUGAAGAGUUUGAUCAUGGCUCAGAUUGAACGCUGGCGGCAGGCCUAACACAUGCAAGUCGAACGGUAACAGGAAGCAGCUUGCUGCUUCGCUGACGAGUGGCGGACGGGUGAGUAAUGUCUGGGAAGCUGCCUGAUGGAGGGGGAUAACUACUGGAAACGGUGGCUAAUACCGCAUAACGUCGCAAGACCAAAGAGGGGGACCUUCGGGCCUCUUGCCAUCAGAUGUGCCCAGAUGGGAUUAGCUAGUUGGUGAGGUAACGGCUCACCAAGGCGACGAUCCCUAGCUGGUCUGAGAGGAUGACCAGCCACACUGGAACUGAGACACGGUCCAGACUCCUACGGGAGGCAGCAGUGGGGAAUAUUGCACAAUGGGCGCAAGCCUGAUGCAGCCAUGCCGCGUGUAUGAAGAAGGCCUUCGGGUUGUAAAGUACUUUCAGCGGGGAGGA
This 451-nucleotide ribosomal RNA is filed under the name Salmonella enterica subsp. enterica. Its description in RNAcentral is "bacterial SSU rRNA". It matches the Rfam family "Bacterial small subunit ribosomal RNA", at positions 1 to 448 of the family's 1533-position model. The record is from RNAcentral. Lineage: Bacteria; Pseudomonadati; Pseudomonadota; Gammaproteobacteria; Enterobacterales; Enterobacteriaceae.